RNAcentral lists this non-coding RNA (1168 nucleotides) under Pan troglodytes (chimpanzee). Lineage: Eukaryota; Metazoa; Chordata; Mammalia; Primates; Hominidae. The record is from RNAcentral.
UGCUGGGGGCUGAGGGACGCGUUGCGAGCCCCGGAUACAUUGUACCCUGGGGGUACAUAAUGAAGGAUGCUGUACCUGAAAGGAAAAGGGCAUCUCCAAAAGGGGACUUCGCGGGUGGAAUUUCCUUCCAAAAUCCUCGAGGAACAAGGUGUAUUUCCGACCUGGAUUAAUGAAUCCCCCCUCCUAUCCCGCACUUCCUGUGGAAACAGUGUCAGGAUGUGGCGCGGACCUAUGUGCGUCCCUUAUACCAGGACUUGCCUUCAACGCUGAAGGUGAACCCUGGGUCAUCCCCGCUGUAUUCAGGCGGCGCUGAAAAGGCUUCUGGGCAGCCAAUAGGCCCUUGAGCGCCUCGGCCCCAUCUUGCUUCAGUAGGCAAACGGACGGGUGUCUUCAUCCACCUCCUAGGCCGUGGUCUACCCUUCGUUCAAAUGUUUCUUCCUGCUAGCUGACUGUCCAGGUCCUUAGCUGUAUCACAUUGUUCAAAUGUGUGUGCGCAGGUGUUUCUUUUUCAACUAAUCAUGCAGGAAGUGGCGGGAUGCCUUACUGCCAUUAUUUGCUGAGUAUUUCCAGAUGGAACUGUAGUUGAUAGCCAAUAAAUUUGGUACGUUUUUAUCGGGAUGCGCAUGCCAUAGAUCGUCCCUGAGAUAAUGCUUUGCAAUGUGGAACCUGAAACACCUAUUUAUAAGCCCAAGCCUUUCAUUAAUAUUAACUGUGAGACCCCUGGAAGCUACUACUUUGUGUGAGCCUGUUUUCUCCGCCCUCAAACAGUGGAUAUAAUACCCCCUUGCAAGGCUGUGAGAUUAAAUGGGUAACUGUGCAUAAUGCUAAGCAUGGUGUCUGAGACGUAAGAGGUUCCUUAUACCCAUUAGUUCACUAGGUGGGAUCACCAAGUUGAAAUUCAUUUUUUAAUAUUUUGCUUGUUGGAGUACUCACAACUCAACUUCUCUGGCUAAUUUGAUGUUUAAUUUGAAAGGUAAUGACACUAUUUUGUAACAUUUUUAGAUGCUUAAGGGAAAUUUGAAAUGCAAAGUGGAACAACAUUAAAAGGAAACUCACUUGUAAAAUAAAAACAAAAUCUAUGCAAGCCAAAGAAGUCAUGAAUGCUGAGGAAGCAAAAAUUGUGAUUUUCCCCUCUCCAAUCCCACUGACUUUUCAUUUAUCUUUAUUU